Molecule: non-coding RNA, 74 nt
Organism: Paramuricea clavata
Lineage: Eukaryota; Metazoa; Cnidaria; Anthozoa; Malacalcyonacea; Plexauridae
Source: the annotation of a GenBank genome assembly
GGCCGUGUAGCUCAGUUGGUAGAGCGUCGAUCUAGUAAUUCGAGGGUCGCGGGUUCGGGGCCCAGCCGCGGCAG